AAAAGUACUUUGAAAAGAGAGUGCAAGAGAACGUGAAACCGGUGUAAUGGAAGCGAAUGGAGCCGACGUAUCUAGUGCGUAUUCAGCCUUCUGGGCGGGUGAUUGAGGUUUGUGCAUUUCCGCAAGGUGUGCCUGGCUUCAUUGUCGCACGUUCGGUUGGUGCAUUUGCGUACGGAGUGCGCCGGGUUGUGUGGUGUUGUCGGACGAGGCGCGUCUAGAGGACCCGGGCUUCGGCGCUGGGAACCCUGGGCGUGUGGAGUUCGGUUGGCGCUGCGCAGCUUUGUGGAGACGUGGGUUUUUCGCGUGCCGCGGUGUCGACACGCUCGGUUCGGGUGGUACACAUGUGUGCAGCCCUUAUGGUGUGGGUCGGUGUUGUGGUGUGCUCUACGUUCUUCCCGGUGUUCAGUCGGUGACCCAUUCGACCCGUCUUGAAACACGGACCAAGGAGUUUAUGGUAUGCGCAAGUCAUUGGGUUUGUCGAAGCCUAAAGGCGUAAUGAAAGUGAGACAUUACUUGUCUGAACGUGACUGGGUGCGGCAUUCGUGCGGCCCAAGCAACGUUGCCCCGUUUCGAGGACUUGUCCUGAUGCGGAGGUUGAGCGUAUGCUAUGAGACCCGAAAGAUGGUGAACUAUGCCUGAACAGGACGAAGCCAGAGGAAACUCUGGUGGAAGUCCGAAGCGGUUCUGACGUGCAAAUCGAUCGUCUGAUUUUGGUAUAGGGGCGCAAGACUAAUCGAACCAUCUGGUAGCUGGUUUCCUCCGAAGUUUCCCUCAGGAUAGCUGGUGCACAUUCAAACAGAUAUACUCGGUAAAGCGAACGAUUAGAGUUCUUGGGAUGUAUUAUUCUCAGACUAUUCUCAAACUCUAAAUGGUUAUGAUGUUGGUGUUGCUUAAUUGAACACUGACUUUGAUUGUUGUGCUCCAAGUGGGCCAUUUUUGGUAAGCAGAACUGGCGAUGUGGGAUGAACCAAACGCGGAGUUACGGUGCCUAACUAUUCGCUCAUGAGACCCCAUGAAAGGUGUUGGUUGAUAUAGACAGCAGGACGGUGGCCAUGGAAGUCGGAAUCCGCUAAGGAGUGUGUAACAACUCACCUGCCGAAUCAACUAGCCCUGAAAAUGGAUGGCGCUCGAGCGAAUGACCUAUACUCUGCCGUCGUUGAGAACCGAGCAAUCUCUCGACGAGUAGGAGGUACGUUGUAAUGGCGUUGAAGUUGUUGGGC
Molecule: ribosomal RNA, 1220 nt
Filed under: Bursaphelenchus firmae
Lineage: Eukaryota; Metazoa; Nematoda; Chromadorea; Rhabditida; Aphelenchoididae
Description: eukaryotic LSU rRNA
Rfam family: Eukaryotic large subunit ribosomal RNA
Source: RNAcentral